This is a non-coding RNA of Oryza glaberrima (African rice), 194 nucleotides long. The record is from Rfam. Lineage: Eukaryota; Viridiplantae; Streptophyta; Magnoliopsida; Poales; Poaceae.
UAUAAAUACAACCAUAAGUUUCCACGUCCAACUUUGAUCGUUCGUCUUAUUUGAAAGUUUUUUAUAAUUAAUAUUUUUAUUGUUAUGAGAUGAUAAAAUAUAAAUAGUACUUUACUCGUGACUUAUGUUUUUAAAUUUUUUCAAAUAAGACGGACGGUUAAAGUUGGGCGCGGAAAACCAUGGCUGCACUUAUA